UACGUAGGGUGCGAGCGUUAAUCGGAAUUACUGGGCGUAAAGCGCGCGUAGGCGGUUUUGUAAGUCGGGUGUGAAAUCCCCAAGCUUAACUUUGGAACUGCAUUCGAGACUGCAUAGCUAGAGUAUGGGAGAGAGAAGUGGAAUUUCCGGUGUAGCGGUGAAAUGCGUAGAUAUCGGAAGGAACAUCAGUGGCGAAAGCGACUUCUUGGACCAAUACUGACGCUCAAGUGCGAAAGCGUGGGGAGCAAACAGG
RNAcentral lists this ribosomal RNA (253 nucleotides) under uncultured bacterium. RNAcentral's name for it is "partial 16S ribosomal RNA". It matches the Rfam family "Bacterial small subunit ribosomal RNA", at positions 524 to 776 of the family's 1533-position model. The record is from RNAcentral.